AUUGAACGCUGGCGGCAUGCCUUACACAUGCAAGUCGAACGGCAGCACGGGUGCUUGCACCUGGUGGCGAGUGGCGAACGGGUGAGUAAUACAUCGGAACAUGUCCUGUAGUGGGGGAUAGCCCGGCGAAAGCCGGAUUAAUACCGCAUACGAUCCACGGAUGAAAGCGGGGGACCUUCGGGCCUCGCGCUAUAGGGUUGGCCGAUGGCUGAUUAGCUAGUUGGUGGGGUAAAGGCCUACCAAGGCGACGAUCAGUAGCUGGUCUGAGAGGACGACCAGCCACACUGGGACUGAGACACGGCCCAGACUCCUACGGGAGGCAGCAGUGGGGAAUUUUGGACAAUGGGCGAAAGCCUGAUCCAGCAAUGCCGCGUGUGUGAAGAAGGCCUUCGGGUUGUAAAGCACUUUUGUCCGGAAAGAAAUCCUUGGCUCUAAUACAGUCGGGGGAUGACGGUACCGGAGAAUAAGCACCGGCUAACUACGUG
RNAcentral lists this ribosomal RNA (485 nucleotides) under uncultured bacterium. Its description in RNAcentral is "partial 16S ribosomal RNA". It matches the Rfam family "Bacterial small subunit ribosomal RNA", at positions 30 to 507 of the family's 1533-position model. The record is from RNAcentral.